UGGGAAUUGAAUUAGCUAGGCACCACUAGAAUUCACAAUUAUUUAUUUCGAAAAAGAUUACAUGAAUGACAUCAAAUGAUACAACUUAGUGACAUGUUACAGUAUAAAGUUAGUUAUGCAAUCAGUCCACCGACGAAAGGCACCCCGGUUUGUCCAAUCCAACCCUCGCCAACAAGGAAAUUUGUGACGGUGAAAUUGGAAGCAUCACUAGCGUUAGUGAUGACAUGAUAACCGGGCCAACCGACUCUGUUUGUUGUGUUAGAGCCGGGUCCAGUAUUAUUGUAUUCCGCAUAGUAAAGUGUGCUCAAUGCGAAAUCUCCAGACCAUGCGUUCCAGCCAGUCGGGUCAAGAAACCCGUCUAUGUAUGUCUGCAUAACAAUAGUUCUCGAAUAUUCCUUCCACGGCCGACCAAGAUAAGUUUUUACUGUAUAGUUGCUCGAAGCCAAAUCAUCCGCAGGUCUUAUCGUACACCCAUGUAACACAGUUCCAGUGUUCUGGUUGGGGUCGGUACGACCUUGAGCUGUAACCUCAUUUGCCUGACCUUUACGGGGCUGACGUGGAUAUAAAUUACAGUUUUGUAACACCACCGCAGCAUUACCAAAUAUAAAGUCAACCGUACCAUAAACAUCGCAUUCACGAUAGAAUUGUCUGAGAGAAUGCGUAUAUAAGGUAUCUUGAUAGGCUUCAAAACUACAACUAUAGAAGACAGAGAAGUCUCCACCGCUCCUCAAUGCGACGGCUUGAUUCUUGGUUGGUCCUGCCGUGUUGCGGAUUGUUAUGUUUACGCCAAUAAAGUUGGUACCUGAUAGAACUGCGAUUUAUGAACAAAAUUUAGAGUUAGUUGACUAUUUCAUUAAAACAAACCUUUUAUCAACUUCGCUUGUUGACAAUAGACAAAGAACGUCGAAAUCGUUAUGAACAAAAAAAUUAAACAACAACGUGCUUGUAAUAAACAAAAUAGGAAACAUUUUUUUUUCCUAAACGAUUUUUUGUGAGGAGUUCUAUUGGAGCGACACGUCAGCACGCUAAGUUUCAAAGUGAUGUGAGACUGACACGUGGCAAAUAUAGUGUGAACGCAUUUACUGAGAAUGCUUCUCUUUUAAUAUAUAAGGGAUGGGAAUCGCAGAAGAAAGCAGCAAGCCAAUGUGGGGUAGCGUGAGCCACACGUCUCCAGGUCCAGGCCACUCUCUCAACGGCAAAAUCAUGCUCUCCUCCGUAAUCAUCCUCUUCGCCGCCGUGCUCAUGAUGCUCUGCUUCCACAGCUACGCCCGAUGGUUAUUCCGUCGUCAAAACCGUCGCAUUCGCCGCCGUAUUCGUGCUCACCUCCGCGCUCUCUCCGCCUCCACCAUCUCCUCGACCUCCCUUUCCCCUCUCGACACGGCGGUUCUCGAGAAGAUUCGUAUCUUCGUUUACUCCUCCGAGACUCAUCAUCAAACGCCACUGGAGGAGUGCUCCGUUUGCUUGUCGGAGUUCGAAGAAGAGGACCAAGGCCGUAUCCUCCCUAAAUGUGGCCACGCUUUUCACGCUGACUGCAUCGAUACUGGGUUCCGUUCCAGAUCCACUUGCCCUCUUUGCAGAGCUCCGGUUCAACCCGAAAGUCCCUCGACCCGACCCGAAUCAGCAGAACAAGCCGCUUCGGUUAAACAACAGGUGGAGGACAUAGAAACAGGAAGUUCUUCUUCCUCCUCCUCCUCUUCUUCGUCUUCGCCGUUGAGAUUUCCGAUGGAGGCGUGUGAGAGAGAACCAAUAGAUUUAGUCGGUGUCAUGGUGGAGACUCCCCACAUAAUUUGAAGGCUCUAAUAAUAACAAUCCGGUUCUACCCAACAGCCAUAACGGAUCCACAUUUCCGGGUAAUCUGGUUGUAUCUUUGAAAAGACUAUGGAGCAUCUGGAGAAGCGUGCGGGCAAAGCAAAUGAUAUUUUUUUCUUUUCUUUUUUAAAACCGCAUGAGAUUUUGGACACGUAGCAAUAAUGCCAGCUCACGUGGCAUUAACGCUGGUCCACGUGGCCGUUACUAGUGGACCACGAGAGCGCCUACGUUAUCAUCCACCACCACUGAAACUGCCACAAGCCUGGUGGUCUACGGAGAGCUUCUUACAUAAAACUUUCAUUUGUGUAAAUUUAUUAUCACAAAAAUCGUAGCCACUGUGGGAAUUGAAUUAGCUUGGCACCACUAGAAUUCACAAUUAUUUAUUUUGAAAAAGAACACAUGAAUGACAUCAAAUGUAUAGCUUAGUGACAUGUUAUAGUAUAAAGUUAAAUUAUGCUAUCAGUCCACCGACGAAAGGCACCCCGGUUUGUCCAAUCCAACCCUCGCCAACAAGGAAAUUUGUGACCGUGAAAUUGGAAGCAUCAGUAGCGUUAGUGAUGUCAUGAUAACCGGGCCAAGUGACUCUGUUUGUUGUGUUAGAGCCGGGUCCAGUAUUAUUGUAUUCCGCAUAGUAAAGUGUGCUCAAUGCGAAAUCUCCAGACCAUGCGUUCCAGCCAGUCGGGUCAAGAAACCCGUCUAUGUAUGUCUGCAUAACAACAGUUCUCGAAUAUUCCUUCCACGGCCGACCAAGAUAAGUUUUUACUGUAUAGUUGCUGGAAGCCAAAUCAUCCGCGGGUCUUAUCGUACACCCAUGUAACACAGUUCCAGUGUUCUGGUUCGGGUCGGUGCGACCUUGAGCUGUAACCUCGUUCGCCUGACCUUUACGGGGCUGACGUGGAUAUAAAUUACAGUUUUGUAACACCACCGCAGCAUUACCGAAUAUAAAGUCAACCGUACCAUAAACAUCGCAUUCACGAUAGAACUGUCUGAGAGAAUGCGUAUAUAAGGUAUCUUGAUAGGCUUCAAAACUACAACUAUAGAAGACAGAGAAGUCUCCACCGCUCCUCAAUGCGACGGCUUGAUUCUUGGUUGGUCCUGCCGUGUUGCGGAUUGUUAUGUUUACG
RNAcentral lists this long non-coding RNA (2933 nucleotides) under Brassica napus (rape). Its description in RNAcentral is "long non-coding RNA (BNAP_LNC027118)". Lineage: Eukaryota; Viridiplantae; Streptophyta; Magnoliopsida; Brassicales; Brassicaceae. The record is from RNAcentral.